UACAGAGGGUGCAAGCGUUAUUCGGAAUUAUUGGGCGUAAAGCGCACGUAGGUGGUUUGGUAAGUCUGAUGUGAAAGCCCCGGACUCAAUUCGGGAAGUGCAUUGGAUACUGCUAAACUGGAGUAUGGGAGAGGUGAGUGGAAUUCCAGGUGUAGAGGUGAAAUUCGUAGAUAUCUGGAGGAACAACAGAGGCGAAGGCGGCUCACUGGACCAUUACUGACACUGAGGUGCGAAAGCGUGGGGAGCAAACAGG
This 253-nucleotide ribosomal RNA is filed under the name uncultured bacterium. Its description in RNAcentral is "partial 16S ribosomal RNA". It matches the Rfam family "Bacterial small subunit ribosomal RNA", at positions 524 to 776 of the family's 1533-position model. The record is from RNAcentral.